RNAcentral lists this ribosomal RNA (496 nucleotides) under Bifidobacterium longum subsp. infantis. RNAcentral describes it as "bacterial SSU rRNA". It matches the Rfam family "Bacterial small subunit ribosomal RNA", at positions 186 to 698 of the family's 1533-position model. The record is from RNAcentral. Lineage: Bacteria; Bacillati; Actinomycetota; Actinomycetes; Bifidobacteriales; Bifidobacteriaceae.
UCGCAUGGUCUUCUGGGAAGCUUUCGCGGUAUGGGAUGGGGUCGCGUCCUAUCAGCUUGACGGCGGGGUAACGGCCCACCGUGGCUUCGACGGGUAGCCGGCCUGAGAGGGCGACCGGCCACAUUGGGACUGAGAUACGGCCCAGACUCCUACGGGAGGCAGCAGUGGGGAAUAUUGCACAAUGGGCGCAAGCCUGAUGCAGCGACGCCGCGUGAGGGAUGGAGGCCUUCGGGUUGUAAACCUCUUUUAUCGGGGAGCAAGCGAGAGUGAGUUUACCCGUUGAAUAAGCACCGGCUAACUACGUGCCAGCAGCCGCGGUAAUACGUAGGGUGCAAGCGUUAUCCGGAAUUAUUGGGCGUAAAGGGCUCGUAGGCGGUUCGUCGCGUCCGGUGUGAAAGUCCAUCGCUUAACGGUGGAUCCGCGCCGGGUACGGGCGGGCUUGAGUGCGGUAGGGGAGACUGGAAUUCCCGGUGUAACGGUGGAAUGUGUAGAUAUC